AGAGUUUGAUCCUGGCUCAGAUUGAACGCUGGCGGAAUGCUUUACACAUGCAAGUCGAACGGCAGCACGGGAGCUUGCUCCUGGUGGCGAGUGGCGAACGGGUGAGUAACGCGUCGGAACGUACCGAGUAAUGGGGGAUAACGCAGCGAARGUUGUGCUAAUACCGCAUACGCCCUGAGGGGGAAAGUGGGGGAUCGCAAGACCUCACGUUAUUCGAGCGGCCGACGUCUGAUUAGCUUGUUGGUGGGGUAAUGGCCUACCAAGGCGACGAUCAGUAGCGGGUCUGAGAGGAUGAUCCGCCACACUGGAACUGAGACACGGUCCAGACUCCUACGGGAGGCAGCAGUGGGGAAUUUUGGACAAUGGGGGCAACCCUGAUCCAGCCAUUCCGCGUGAGUGAAGAAGGCCUUCGGGUUGUAAAGCUCUUUCAGCCGGAACGAAACGGUAUGUCUUAAUACGAUGUGCUAAUGACGGUACCGGUAGAAGAAGCACCGGCUAACUACGUGCCAGCAGCCGCGGUAAUAC
This 525-nucleotide ribosomal RNA is filed under the name uncultured Hydrogenophilaceae bacterium. RNAcentral describes it as "bacterial SSU rRNA". It matches the Rfam family "Bacterial small subunit ribosomal RNA", at positions 8 to 526 of the family's 1533-position model. The record is from RNAcentral. Lineage: Bacteria; Pseudomonadati; Pseudomonadota; Hydrogenophilia; Hydrogenophilales; Hydrogenophilaceae.